This 253-nucleotide ribosomal RNA is filed under the name uncultured bacterium. Its description in RNAcentral is "partial 16S ribosomal RNA". It matches the Rfam family "Bacterial small subunit ribosomal RNA", at positions 524 to 776 of the family's 1533-position model. The record is from RNAcentral.
UACAGAGGUCUCAAGCGUUGUUCGGAUUCAUUGGGCGUAAAGGGUGCGUAGGCGGUGCGGUAAGUCGGGUGUGAAAUUUCGAGGCUUAACUUCGAAACUGCAUUCGAUACUGCCGUGCUAGAGGACUGGAGAGGAGACUGGAAUUUACGGUGUAGCGGUGAAAUGCGUAGAUAUCGUAAGGAAGACCAGUGGCGAAGGCGGGUCUCUGGACAGUUCCUGACGCUGAGGCACGAAGGCCAGGGGAGCAAACGGG